AGAGUUUGAUCCUGGCUCAGAAUCAACGCUGGCGGCGUGCCUCAGACAUGCAAGUCGAACGCGAAAGCUUCCUUCGGGAAGCGAGUAGAGUGGCGCACGGGUGAGUAACACGUAGGUAAUCUACCUUUGAGUGGGGAAUAACAAUCGGAAACGAUUGCUAAUACCGCAUAAUGCAGCGGCAUCUUCGGAUGACAGUUGUUAAAGGAGCAAUCCGCUUAAAGAGGAGCCUGCGGCAGAUUAGCUAGUUGGUAGGGUAACGGCUUACCAAGGCGACGAUCUGUAUCCGACCUGAGAGGGUGGUCGGACACACUGACACUGAAUAACGGGUCAGACUCCUACGGGAGGCAGCAGUCGGGAAUUUUGGGCAAUGGGCGAAAGCCUGACCCAGCAACGCCGCGUGAAGGAUGAAGUCUUUCGGGAUGUAAACUUCGUAAGAAUGGGAAGAAUAAAUGACGGUACCAUUUGUAAGGUCCGGCUAACUACGUGCCAGCAGCCGCGGUAAUACGUAGGGACCAAGCGUUGUUCGGAUUUACUGGGCGUAAAGGGCGCGUAGGCGGCGAAUCAAGUCAGCUGUGAAAUCUCCGGGCUUAACUCGGAACGGUCAGCUGAUACUGUUUUGCUAGAGUGCAGA
This 631-nucleotide ribosomal RNA is filed under the name uncultured bacterium. Its description in RNAcentral is "bacterial SSU rRNA". It matches the Rfam family "Bacterial small subunit ribosomal RNA", at positions 8 to 652 of the family's 1533-position model. The record is from RNAcentral.